This 1489-nucleotide ribosomal RNA is filed under the name Chamaesiphon minutus PCC 6605. RNAcentral describes it as "16S ribosomal RNA". It matches the Rfam family "Bacterial small subunit ribosomal RNA". Lineage: Bacteria; Bacillati; Cyanobacteriota; Cyanophyceae; Gomontiellales; Chamaesiphonaceae. The record is from RNAcentral.
AUAUUAUGGAGAGUUUGAUCCUGGCUCAGGAUGAACGCUGGCGGUAUGCCUAACACAUGCAAGUCGAACGGUGUCUUCGGACAUAGUGGCGGACGGGUGAGUAACGCGUGAGAAUCUGCCUUCAGGACGGGGACAACAGUUGGAAACGACUGCUAAUACCCGAUGUGACGAAAGUUGAAAGAUUUAUCGCCUGAAGAUGAGCUCGCGUCAGAUUAGCUAGAUGGUGUGGUAAAGGCGCACCAUGGCGACGAUCUGUAGCUGGUCUGAGAGGAUGAGCAGCCACACUGGGACUGAGACACGGCCCAGACUCCUACGGGAGGCAGCAGUGGGGAAUUUUCCGCAAUGGGCGCAAGCCUGACGGAGCAAUACCGCGUGAGGGAGGAAGGCUCUUGGGUCGUAAACCUCUUUUCUUAGGGAAGAACAAAAUGACGGUACCUAAGGAAUCAGCAUCGGCUAACUCCGUGCCAGCAGCCGCGGUAAUACGGAGGAUGCAAGCGUUAUCCGGAAUGAUUGGGCGUAAAGCGUCCGUAGGUGGUUUUGUAAGUCCGUGGUUAAAGCGCGAAGCUUAACUUCGUAAGGGCCAUGGAAACUACAAGACUUGAGUAAAGUAGGGGUAGAGGGAAUUCCCAGUGUAGCGGUGAAAUGCGUAGAGAUUGGGAAGAACACCGGUGGCGAAAGCGCUCUACUGGACUUAAACUGACACUGAGGGACGAAAGCUAGGGGAGCGAAAGGGAUUAGAUACCCCUGUAGUCCUAGCCGUAAACGAUGGAUACUAGGUGUUGCCCGUAUCGACCCGGGCAGUGCCGUAGCUAACGCGUUAAGUAUCCCGCCUGGGGAGUACGCACGCAAGUGUGAAACUCAAAGGAAUUGACGGGGGCCCGCACAAGCGGUGGAGUAUGUGGUUUAAUUCGAUGCAACGCGAAGAACCUUACCAGGGCUUGACAUGUCUGGAAUUUCUGCGAAAGUAGAAAGUGCCUUCGGGAACCAGAACACAGGUGGUGCAUGGCUGUCGUCAGCUCGUGUCGUGAGAUGUUGGGUUAAGUCCCGCAACGAGCGCAACCCUCGUUUUUAGUUGCCAUCAUUAAGUUGGGCACUCUAGAAAGACUGCCGGUGACAAACCGGAGGAAGGUGGGGAUGACGUCAAGUCAGCAUGCCCCUUACGCCCUGGGCUACACACGUACUACAAUGCUAUGGACAAAGAGCAGCCAACUGGCGACAGUGCGCUAAUCUCAUAAACCAUGGCUCAGUUCAGAUUGCAGGCUGCAACUCGCCUGCAUGAAGGCGGAAUCGCUAGUAAUCGCAGGUCAGCAUACUGCGGUGAAUCCGUUCCCGGGCCUUGUACACACCGCCCGUCACACCAUGGGAGUUGGUCACGCCCGAAGUCGUUACUCUAACCGCAAGGAAGAGGACGCCGAAGGUAGGGCUGAUGACUGGGGUGAAGUCGUAACAAGGUAGCCGUACCGGAAGGUGUGGCUGGAUCACCUCCUUU